UCUCCGUAGGUGAACCUGCGGAGGGAUCAUUACAGAGAUCUCGCCCUCGCGGGUAGAUCUCCCACCCACUGUUAUCGUUACUGUGUUGCUUUGGCGGGCCGCCGGGCCCCGCUCGGCCGCCGGCUCCGGCUGGCGCGCGCCCGCCAGAGGCCCAGCAAACUCUGAAUGUUAGUGUCGUCUGAGUACUAUAUAAUAGUUAAAACUUUCAACAACGGAUCUCUUGGUUCUG
RNAcentral lists this unclassified non-coding RNA (229 nucleotides) under plant metagenome. RNAcentral's name for it is "partial contains small subunit ribosomal RNA, internal transcribed spacer 1, and 5.8S ribosomal RNA". The record is from RNAcentral.